AGACCCGAAACCCGGUGAUCUAGCCAUGGGCAGGUUGAAGGUUGGGUAACACUAACUGGAGGACCGAACCGACUAAUGUUGAAAAAUUAGCGGAUGACCUGUGGCUGGGGGUGAAAGGCCAAUCAAACCGGGAGAUAGCUGGUUCUCCCCGAAAGCUAUUUAGGUAGCGCCUCGUGAAUUCAUCUCCGGGGGUAGAGCACUGUUUCGGCUAGGGGGCCAUCCCGGCUUACCAACCCGAUGCAAACUGCGAAUACCGGAGAAUGUUAUCACGGGAGACACACGGCGGGUGCUAACGUCCGUCGUGAAGAGGGAAACAACCCAGACCGCCAGCUAAGGUCCCAAAGUCAUGGUUAAGUGGGAAACGAUGUGGGAAGGCCCAGACAGCCAGGAUGUUGGCUUAGAAGCAGCCAUCAUUUAAAGAAAGCGUAAUAGCUCACUGGUCGAGUCGGCCUGCGCGGAAGAUGUAACGGGGCUAAACCAUGCACCGAAGCUGCGGCAGCGACACUCAGGUGUUGUUGGGUAGGGGAGCGUUCUGUAAGCCUGCGAAGGUGUGUCGUGAGGCAUGCUGGAGGUAUCAGAAGUGCGAAUGCUGACAUAAGUAACGAUAAAGCGGGUGAAAAGCCCGCUCGCCGGAAGACCAAGGGUUCCUGUCCAACGUUAAUCGGGGCAGGGUGAGUCGACCCCUAAGGCGAGGCCGAAAGGCGUAGUCGAUGGGAAACGGGUUAAUAUUCCCGUACUUGGUGUUACUGCGAAGGGGGGACGGAGAAGGCUAUGUUGGCCGGGCGACGGUUGUCCCGGUUUAAGCGUGUAGGUGUGUGUUCCAGGUAAAUCCGGUUCACUUUAACACUGAGGCGUGAUGACGAGGCACUACGGUGCUGA
This 879-nucleotide ribosomal RNA is filed under the name Salmonella enterica subsp. enterica serovar Oranienburg. RNAcentral describes it as "partial 23S ribosomal RNA". It matches the Rfam family "Bacterial large subunit ribosomal RNA", at positions 711 to 1588 of the family's 2925-position model. Lineage: Bacteria; Pseudomonadati; Pseudomonadota; Gammaproteobacteria; Enterobacterales; Enterobacteriaceae. The record is from RNAcentral.